RNAcentral lists this ribosomal RNA (262 nucleotides) under Enterococcus faecium. Its description in RNAcentral is "partial 23S ribosomal RNA". It matches the Rfam family "Bacterial large subunit ribosomal RNA", at positions 1273 to 1533 of the family's 2925-position model. Lineage: Bacteria; Bacillati; Bacillota; Bacilli; Lactobacillales; Enterococcaceae. The record is from RNAcentral.
CUGGAGCGCUUAGAAGUGAGAAUGCCGGUAUGAGUAGCGAAAGACAGGUGAGAAUCCUGUCCACCGAAUGACUAAGGUUUCCUGGGGAAGGCUCGUCCGCCCAGGGUUAGUCGGGACCUAAGCCGAGGCCGACAGGCGUAGGCGAUGGAUAACAGGUUGAUAUUCCUGUACCCGUUGUUUUUGUUUGAGCAAUGGAGGGACGCAGGAGGCUAAGGAAUGCAGACGAUCGGAAAUGUCUGUCCAAGCAGUAAGUCUGAAGAGG